CAUGCAGUCGUGCGGACUUUUUAAAAGCUUGCUUCUAAAAAGUUAGCGGCGGACGGGUGAGUAACACGUGGGCAACCUGCCUGUAAGAUCGGGAUAACGCCGGGAAACCGGGGCUAAUACCGGAUAGUUUUUUCCUCCGCAUGGAGGAAAAAGGAAAGACGGCUUCGGCUGUCACUUACAGAUGGGCCCGCGGCGCAUUAGCUAGUUGGUGGGGUAACGGCUCACCAAGGCAACGAUGCGUAGCCGACCUGAGAGGGUGAUCGGCCACAUUGGGACUGAGACACGGCCCAAACUCCUACGGGAGGCAGCAGUAGGGAAUCUUCCGCAAUGGACGAAAGUCUGACGGAGCAACGCCGCGUGAGUGAAGAAGGCCUUCGGGUCGUAAAACUCUGUUGCCGGGGAAGAACAAGUGCCGUUCGAACAGGGCGGCGCCUUGACGGUACCCGGCCAGAAAGCCACGGCUAACUACGUGCCAGCAGCCGCGGUAAUACGUAGGUGGCAAGCGUUGUCCGGAUUUAUUGGGCGUAAAGCGCGCGCAGGCGGUCCUUUAAGUCUGAUGUGAAAUCUUGCGGCUCAACCGCAAGCGGUCAUUGGAAACUGGGGGACUUGAGUGCAGAAGAGGAAAGCGGAAUUCCACGUGUAGCGGUGAAAUGCGUAGAGAUGUGGAGGAACACCAGUGGCGAAGGCGGCUUUCUGGUCUGUAACUGACGCUGAGGCGCGAAAGCGUGGGGAGCAAACAGGAUUAGAUACCCUGGUAGUCCACGCCGUAAACGAUGAGUGCUAAGUGUUGGAGGGUUUCCGCCUUUCAGUGCUGCAGCUAACGCAUUAAGCACUCCGCCUGGGGAGUACG
RNAcentral lists this ribosomal RNA (850 nucleotides) under uncultured Bacillus sp. RNAcentral describes it as "bacterial SSU rRNA". It matches the Rfam family "Bacterial small subunit ribosomal RNA", at positions 54 to 884 of the family's 1533-position model. The record is from RNAcentral. Lineage: Bacteria; Bacillati; Bacillota; Bacilli; Caryophanales; Bacillaceae.